RNAcentral lists this unclassified non-coding RNA (348 nucleotides) under soil metagenome. RNAcentral describes it as "partial contains 5.8S ribosomal RNA, internal transcribed spacer 2, and large subunit ribosomal RNA". The stretch from base 1 to 120 matches the Rfam family "5.8S ribosomal RNA", at positions 35 to 154 of the family's 154-position model. The record is from RNAcentral.
GAUGAAGAACGUAGCGAAAUGCGAUAAGUAAUGUGAAUUGCAGAAUUCAGUGAAUCAUCGAAUCUUUGAACGCACAUUGCGCCCGCCAGUAUUCUGGCGGGCAUGCCUGUCUGAGCGUCAUUUCAACCCUCAUGCCCCUAGGGCGUGGUGUUGGGGAUCGGCCAAAGCCCGCGAGGGACGGCCGGCCCCUAAAUCUAAUGGCGGACCCGUCGUGGCCUCCUCUGCGAAGUAGUGAUAUUCCGCAUCGGAGAGCGAUGAGCCCCUGCCGUUAAACCCCCAACUUUCCAAGGUUGACCUCAGAUCAGGUAGGAAUACCCGCUGAACUUAAGCAUAUCAAUAAGCGGAGGA